GGAAAUCUCACCAGGCCCGGACACUGGAAGGAUUGACAGAUUGAUAGCUCUUUCUUGAUUCGGUGGGUGGUGGUGCAUGGCUUUUCUUAGUAGGUUGAGUGUUUUGUCUUGUUAAUUCCGAUAACGAACAAGACUCUGUCCUGCUAAAUAAUGUCUGCUUCUCUUUUGAGCAGACAAUUCUUGUUAAUUCGAUAACGAACAAGACUCUGUCCUGCUAAAUAAUGUCUGCUUCUCUUUUGAGCAGACAAUUCUUCUUAGAGGGACUGGCGACUCUUAGUCGCGCAAGAUUGAGCAAUAA
This 298-nucleotide ribosomal RNA is filed under the name uncultured eukaryote. RNAcentral describes it as "partial 18S ribosomal RNA". It matches the Rfam family "Eukaryotic small subunit ribosomal RNA", at positions 1208 to 1456 of the family's 1831-position model. The record is from RNAcentral.